Molecule: long non-coding RNA, 925 nt
Organism: Eubalaena glacialis (North Atlantic right whale)
Lineage: Eukaryota; Metazoa; Chordata; Mammalia; Artiodactyla; Balaenidae
Exons: 3
Source: RefSeq, a predicted model, not a curated record
GGCCCACAGGGAGUGUAGGGGAGAAGGAGCUGACCUCGAGAGCCUUUUCACUUCUUUUUUUAAAAAGAAAAAGAAAGAAAAAGUUUCUGAGUGAAGACUUCGCAAAGUCAGGCACCAAAGUAGCGCAGAGAAGUGUCCACCACCGCGAAAGCGGUUCGGCGAUCAAACGGGUAGCGCCUGUUCUUGACCUUUGCCCUCACGGUUUCCUGCGCCUCCAAGACAAGCGACCCCAACAGGAGGGAACUGCGCUUAGCGUGUAGAUCUUGAGCUGGCACACGCUUCGGGUCCGCAGCGAGAACUCCUGGCUACCGUUUACUUAGUGGAAAUUAACUAAAACCAACGCGUAAGAAAUUGUGACCCACGUUCGCCUGAGUCUGGCCUCUGGAAUCCACAAAAAGCCACCCCGCUCCCCAGUGACCCCAAGAUUAUGACCACCAGUCCAGUCUGACGGCUCUAGAAGCAAGAGCCGCCGCCUCUUUGAAGUCCGGGAUGCAGAGGGGACAUUCAGUGCUCACCUGGAGAGGCUCGCCAGUACCCCAAGGCGCCCACACUCGCGAAGGCCGAGAAGGGGAGGUGGGGGGAGGAUUGUGUCCCACAGGCCUGCGGAGAGCGCGUGGCGGGUAGGAGAAGAGGGUGUCUCCGAGAGGGACGCUCCCUCGGGCCCGCCCCCUACCCUCACUGCGAGGACGCCCCCAAAGAGUCGCGCGCUCUGCCUAAUCUGCUAGGGCUGCGGUGUGAAUGGAGCCGCCGAGACUCCUGACUCCUCCUCCUCCCCCGCCGCCGGCCCCUCUUAUUUGAGCUUUGGGAAGCUGGGGGUAGCCAGGCAGCUGGGGUAAGGAGUUCAAGGCAGCGCCCACACCCGGGGGCUCUCCGCAACUCGACCGCCUAUCCGCUCCCCCCUUCCCGCCCUCCCUCCCACUCAUUC